Molecule: ribosomal RNA, 1790 nt
Filed under: Machiloides sp. GG-2001
Lineage: Eukaryota; Metazoa; Arthropoda; Insecta; Archaeognatha; Machilidae
Description: SSU rRNA
Rfam family: Eukaryotic small subunit ribosomal RNA
Source: RNAcentral
UCAUAUGCUUGUCUCAAAGAUUAAGCCAUGCAUGUCUAAGUGCAAGCUGAAUUAAAGUGAAACCGCGAAUGGCUCAUUAAAUCAGUCAUGGUUCCUUGGAUAGAAAAGAAAGACUUGGAUAACUGUGGUAAUUCUAGAGCUAAUACAUGCACCUCAUGCUCCGACCUGACGGGAAGAGCGCUUUUAUUAGUUCAAAAUCAAUCGGUGUCCUCCUCGCAAGAGGGGGCGCCGUCCUUCUGGUGACACUGGAUAACUUUGAGCGGAUCGCACGGUCUCGCACCGGCGACGAGUCUUUCAAACGUCUGCUCUAUCAACUGGCGAUGGUAGUCACUACGCCUACCAUGGUCAUCACGGGUGACGGGGAAUCAGGGUUCGAUUCCGGAGAGGGAGCCUGAGAAACGGCUACCACAUCCAAGGAAGGCAGCAGGCGCGCAAAUUACCCACUCCCGGCACGGGGAGGUAGUGACGAAAAAUAACAAUACGGGACUCAUCCGAGGCCCCGUAAUUGGAAUGAGGGCACUUUAAAUCCUUGAACGAGUAUCGAUUGGAGGGCAAGUCUGGUGCCAGCAGCCGCGGUAAUUCCAGCUCCAAUAGCGUAUAUUAAAGUUGUUGCGGUUAAAAAGCUCGUAGUUGGCUUUGUGUCGCGGACGGUCGGUUCACUUGCCGGUGUACACUGACCGGUCCGGACGUCCUGCCGGCGCGUCCCUCGGUGCUCUUCAUUGAGUGUCUUGGGUUGCCCGGCACGUUUACUUUGACCAAACUAGAGUGCUCAAAGCAGGCCAAACCCUACGCCUGAAUAACGGUGCAUGGAAUAAUGGAAGAGGACCUCGGUUCUAUUUUGUUGGUUUUCGGAACCCGAGGUAAUGAUUAAGAGGUACGGACGGGGGCAUCCGUAUUGCGACGUUAGAGGUGAAAUUCUUGGAUCGUCGCAAGACGAGCGAAAGCGAAAGCAUUUGCCAAGAACGCUUUCAUUAAUCAAGAACGAAAGUUAGAGGUUCGAAGGCGAUCAGAUACCGCCCUAGUUCUAACCAUAAACGAUGCCAGCCAGCGAUCCGCCGCAGUCCAUUGGAUGACUCGGCGGGCAGCUUCCGGGAAACCAAAGCUUUUGGGUUCCGGGGGAAGUAUGGUUGCAAAGCUGAAACUUAAAGGAAUUGACGGAAGGGCACCACCAGGAGUGGAGCCUGCGGCUUAAUUUGACUCAACACGGGAAACCUCACCAGGCCCGGACACUGGAAGGAUUGACAGAUUGAGAGCUCUCUCUUGAUUCAGUGGGUGGUGGUGCAUGGCCGUUCUUAGUUGGUGGAGUGAUUUGUCAGGUUAAUUCCGAUAACGAACGAGACUCUGGCCUAUUAACUAGAAGUCGGACCUCGCAUCGCGAGUCCGCCUCUCUUCUUAGAGGGACAGGCGACGUCUAGUCGCACGAGAAGGAGCAAUAACAGGUCUGUGAUGCCCUUAGAUGUCCUGGGCCGCACGCGCGCUACACUGAGGGAGUCAGCGUGUGUUCACCCUUUCCGAGAGGACCGGGUAACCAGCUGAAACUCGCUCGUGAUAGGGAUUGGGGAUUGCAAUUGUUUCCCAUGAACGAGGAAUUCCCAGUAAGUGCGAGUCAUGAGCUUGCGUUGAUUACGUCCCUGCCCUUUGUACACACCGCCCGUCGCUACUACCGAUUGAAUGAUUUAGUGAGGCCUUCGGACUGGCGCUCUGCUUCGGAUUUCGGUCCGGAGCGGUCGUGCCGGGAAGAUGGCCGAACUUGAUCAUUUAGAGGAAGUAAAAGUCGUAACAAGGUUUCC